CUCAAUCCUUCUGGGGAUUUCCUUUGUGUUGCUCUCUUAGGGCUCCCUUCUUCCUGGGGGAGGCCAUGAGGAACGUCUUUCUCUUUCAUGCUCGACUCUCUGGUUUUGGUGAAGCAAGUCUUUCAGAAGCUUUGUGAGAACGGAUGCAUGGAAGGCAACACUUCAGGGAUCUUGUGUAUCUUUAUUCUGCCCUUCCACCGUGAGGCUGGGUCGGCUUGAAAACUUCAGCGAUGAGCCUUUUUCCGACAGAACAGGAAGUGAAAUGAACUAUUUCUGGUCAUUCUCCUUAAGGUUGGUCGUUUAUGGGACACACACUGGUGCAGGCUAGAGCUCCUCUAUAUCUGAAAGCAAUGUUGGGGAAAUGCAUCCAGAUGAACCAGAUUUUUCAAGUUCUGGCAGAAUACUACCGCUUAGCUCUGCCCAUGGGCUUGAGUCUUCUCUGCGGACAGUCCCGUCAAUGCUCUUUCCCUCCCUAGUAUCUGGAGGCAAAUCUGCUGUUCCUGAGCCAUUCAUGCUGUUCCCUGCGUGUGCCUGGGGCAAAGAAGAGUGGGAGCUAUUCAUCUUCACCCGAAAUCUCCUCCCUGUCUGCCUGAGCCCUGUCUGGUCUAACUUACUUGAACUCCUUGAGCCGACCUGCCCUGUUUUGGAAACAGAUAGUGAUGGCUGUUUUGUGAUCCAUACGCUUUUAUCACUUUUGU
This 698-nucleotide long non-coding RNA is filed under the name Equus caballus (horse). RNAcentral's name for it is "lncRNA (ENSECAG00000057167.1)". The record is from RNAcentral. Lineage: Eukaryota; Metazoa; Chordata; Mammalia; Perissodactyla; Equidae.